Molecule: long non-coding RNA, 212 nt
Filed under: Elaeis guineensis (African oil palm)
Lineage: Eukaryota; Viridiplantae; Streptophyta; Magnoliopsida; Arecales; Arecaceae
Description: long non-coding RNA (EGUI_LNC032336)
Source: RNAcentral
UACUUUAUUCCCAAUGUGUAUGAUCAUUUCACGAUCCCUCAGCCUCCUGCUAUCCUCAAGAUCUUGUAAAAAAGUGCAUAAGUGAGCACUAGAUCCAGAGUUAAGCAUCCAACUGGAUGCGGAAGAAACCGUUAGGAUUGUUUCUAUGACGAGCAUAUUUUCAGAAAGUCCGCCUUCCUUCUUGUUCUUCAAUUCCGCUUCCAGUGGCCGUC